RNAcentral lists this ribosomal RNA (253 nucleotides) under uncultured bacterium. RNAcentral describes it as "partial 16S ribosomal RNA". It matches the Rfam family "Bacterial small subunit ribosomal RNA", at positions 524 to 776 of the family's 1533-position model. The record is from RNAcentral.
UACGUAGGGGGCAAGCGUUGUCCGGAUUCAUUGGGCGUAAAGAGCGUGUAGGCGGCCAGGUAGGUCGGUUGUGAAAACUGGAGGCUCAACCUUCAGAGGUCGACCGAAACCAUCUGGCUAGAGUCCGGGAGAGGAGAGUGGAACUCCUGGUGUAGCGGUGAAAUGCGCAGAUAUCAGGAAGAACACCCGUGGCGAAAGCGGCUCUCUGGAACGGUACUGACGCUGAGACGCGAAAGCGUGGGGAGCGAACAGG